Molecule: ribosomal RNA, 217 nt
Filed under: Campeiostachys nutans
Lineage: Eukaryota; Viridiplantae; Streptophyta; Magnoliopsida; Poales; Poaceae
Description: Elymus nutans partial small subunit ribosomal RNA
Rfam family: Eukaryotic small subunit ribosomal RNA (bases 47-217)
Source: RNAcentral
GGGUUCAUCAGUUGGUCGGGCUUUUUGGUCUGUACUGGCGUGAUGGAUUCCUACCUUCUGAAUAACCGGAAUGUCAUUAAUUUGGUGUCGUGGGGAAUCAGGACUGUUACUUUGAAAAAAUUAGAGUGUUUAAAGCAGGCUCACGCUUGAAUACAUUAGCAUGGAAUAAUGAAAUAGGACGUUCGAUCCUAUUUUGUUGGUUUCUAGGAUUGACGUA